Molecule: non-coding RNA, 77 nt
Organism: Microthyrium microscopicum
Lineage: Eukaryota; Fungi; Ascomycota; Dothideomycetes; Microthyriales; Microthyriaceae
Source: the annotation of a GenBank genome assembly
GCCUUCUUAGCUCAGGGGUAGAGCGUUGCACUUGUAAUGCAAUGCAAAGGUCGCUAGUUCAAAUCUGGUAGGAGGCA